RNAcentral lists this ribosomal RNA (460 nucleotides) under uncultured bacterium. RNAcentral's name for it is "partial 16S ribosomal RNA". It matches the Rfam family "Bacterial small subunit ribosomal RNA", at positions 338 to 795 of the family's 1533-position model. The record is from RNAcentral.
CCUACGGGGGGCAGCAGUGAGGAAUAUUGGUCAAUGGCCGGAAGGCUGAACCAGCCAUGCCGCGUGAAGGUCAGUGCCCUAUGGGCGUUAAACUUCUUUUGUGCGGGAGCAAUAAUGGUCACGUGUGGCCAGACGAGAGUACCGUACGAAUAAGCAUCGGCUAACUCCGUGCCAGCAGCCGCGGUAAUACGGGGGAUGCAAGCGUUAUCCGGAGUUAUUGGGUUUAAAGGGUGCGUAGGCUGUGAGGUAAGUCAGCGGUGAAAUGCCCCCGCGCAACGGGGUGAAGUGCCAUUGAUACUGCCUUGCUGGAAUGCGGGUGCAGUGCGAGGAAUGUGUGGUGUAGCGGUGAAAUGCAUAGAUAUCACACAGAACACCGAUUGCGAAGGCAUCUCACGAAUCCGCGAUUGACGCUGAUGCACGAAAGCGUGGGUAUCGAACAGGAUUAGAUACCCGGGUAGUC